Onychostoma macrolepis is the source of this 1521-nucleotide long non-coding RNA. RefSeq lists it as uncharacterized. The record is from RefSeq and is a predicted model, not a curated record. Lineage: Eukaryota; Metazoa; Chordata; Actinopteri; Cypriniformes; Cyprinidae. The transcript has 4 exons.
GGUACUUUUACUUGAGUAGAAUAUUUUUGUACUCUUUUCACCUCUGCUGAUGGGAGAUUCAAAGACAGACUGAAGCUGGACAAGAAGACUGGAUCCCUCACCAUCACAAACAUCACAACUGAACACAUUGGAGUCUAUAAUCUACAGACCAUCAGCAGGAGAGGGACAUUGUACAAAAGAUUCCUUGUUACCAUCAGACUACAGAAAGAUGUUCUGAUCCUGUGGAUGUUUGGAGAUGAAGAUAACCUGAUUGCUCAAAUGAUGGGGAAGACCAGAGGAACAUACAGUAUGAAGGUACUGAUGGGAGAUUCAAAGACAGACUGAAGGUGGAUAAGAAGACUGGAUCUCUGACCAUCAACAACUCCACAAUUGAGCACUCUGGACCUUAUAAACUACAGGUCAGCAGAGGGACAUCAUACAAAAAAUUUAAAGUUGCUAUCCAUGCGAGGAUGAUUUUAGGAGGGAAAGAAUGUUAUUCUAAACCCUGAUACUGAAACACAGAGAGAUGAUCUGAUCCUGUGAAUGUUUGGAGAUCAAGAUAAUCUCAUCGCUCAGCUGACUGGAGAGACCAAAGAGACCACAUACGCUGAUGCUGAUGAGAGAUUCAGAGACAGAUUGCAGCUGCAUCUCUGACCAUCAAGAACAUCACAAGCAAACACUCUGGAGCUUAUAAACUACAGAUUGUCAGCUGCAGAAGGACCUCGUCAAGGAGUUCAGAGUUUUCAUGUGUUGUGAAUCUGGUCCCAAGACGGUGUCAUUGAUGGCAGGAGGAGAAUGUUUAAUUCUAAUCACUGAUUUUAAUGUAGAAAGAGGUGAGCAGGUGCAGUGGAAACAUGAACAUAAAACCCUAGCAACUGGAAUGAAUGGAGACAUCAAUAACACUUCAUAUAGUGAUGAUGUGAGAUUCAGAGACAGACUGGAGCUGGAUCAUCAAACCGGAUCUCUGACCAUCACAAACACCAGAACUGAACAUACUGGAGUUUAUCAACUAAAGUUCCUCAGCAGAUGCGGAAAGAAAGUUUGCUGGGAAUUCAAUGUUACUAUCGGUGGCGAGUAACUCAACUACUUACUCUACUUAUAUUCUACUUUUUAUAGGUUAAAAAAGCUUCAGGUAUUUAUUAGAAAAGUAAGUGCUUUGUGAUCAUUUGCUUGCCCUCAUGCCGUUCCAAAUGUAUGACCAUGUGACUUUUUAUUCUGACUCUUUCUUUCUUCAGAAGAUCCAGAUUAGUUCAUUAGAAACUUCAUGCUUUUCAAAAUGAUGAAAACCUAAGUAGAAUUAAAAUGUUUAUGCUUCAAAGAUAAACAAAUGUCUUGAGGGUUUUAAAACAACAAAUAAAUAAUGACAGAAUUAUUUUAUUCUAAAUAAAGGCAAUUGUUCCAUUUAGUGUAAGUUUCCAAAAAGGACCAAGCCGUCCAUAUAACUUGUGCACUAAAAUCCAAGUCUUCCUAAGUUUGUGUGAGGAACUGGUCCAGAUGUCACUUCAGCUUAUACGUUCUCAAAUCACAUUUGCUUAUUUUAAC